GAUGAACGCUGGCGGCGUGCCUAAUACAUGCAAGUCGAGCGAACAGAUGUGGAGCUUGCUCCUCUGACGUUAGUGGCGGACGGGUGAGUAACACGUGGAUAACCUACCUAUAAGACUGGGAUAACUUCGGGAAACCGGAGCUAAUACCGGAUAAUAUAUUGAACCGCAUGGUUCAAUAGUGAAAGACGCUUUUGCUUCCACUUAUAGAUGAAUCCCCUCCGAAUUAGCUAGUUGGUAAGGUAACGGCUUACCAAGGCAACGUACCUAAGCCGACCUGAGAGGGUGAUCGGCCACACUGGAACUGGACCCGGGUCCGGAUUCCUACGGGAGGCAGCAGUAGGGAUUCUUCGGCAAUGGGCGAAAGCCUGACGGAGCAACGCGGCGUGAGGGAUGAAGGUCUUCGGAUCGUAAAACUCUGUUAUUGGGGAGGAAGAAAUGUGUAAGUAACUAUGCACGUCUUGACGGUACCUAAUCAGAAAGCCACGGCUAACUACGUG
Molecule: ribosomal RNA, 497 nt
Filed under: uncultured bacterium
Lineage: Bacteria
Description: partial 16S ribosomal RNA
Rfam family: Bacterial small subunit ribosomal RNA
Source: RNAcentral